Molecule: long non-coding RNA, 1595 nt
Filed under: Homo sapiens (human)
Lineage: Eukaryota; Metazoa; Chordata; Mammalia; Primates; Hominidae
Description: HSALNT0356786
Source: RNAcentral
AGACUUGAGUCAUGUGGCUAGGAGACAGGCUCACCUUUCUACCCCAUCCCUGGUCCAUCCACUUCUGCUUCAGGCCUGUGAAUGAAGGAAAUAACCUCCCCUGUGUCUCUAAAGUUACAUUCUGGGAAGAAACGGAGUCAUGGAAGGAUAUAGAAUGAAGUAGCUCUGUUCAACAAGGAAAUCUGUAGCAAAACCAAUCCUGGAAACCCAAACUAGGGGUUUGAUAUCCAUCUCUUUGCCCAUCAGGGUGCAAAAGUGUUGCUUAGCAACAUCGAUUCUUCCAGCUCUAACAACUGCGGCAGCCCGCACAGCUGACAAUGGAGCAGAGUUUGCGAGUGAGCUCCUCAUUUUUCAGCUUCUUCACUGUGGCGAGAGGGAAUAAAGAAAGAAAAGGCAAGUGGGAUGAAAGAAACACAGUCAACAGCACAGCGUGGAAAAGGACCGGCUGAUGGUGGGGAAUGGUCGGGUACCACACAUCCCACACACGCUUAGUAAAUGCUCGCCAAGAGAAUUAAAAGGGGGUGAUCACAGCAGCAGAGGUUAAUUAGGGAAACUAAAGAGUCAAUAGAAUGUGAUGGCCGGGCAGUCUGGAAAUGGAAGUUUUUGACUGAGUGGGUGUCUAAGCACAUUCAUCCCCUCCCUGUUUUGGGGUUUUGUUUCUUUUUAGGCCAGGUUAUUGGGCGUGUUUUUAAGGGAAAUAGAAAGGAUUGAGGAGGACUUCUUGUUUUUAUUUUAUUUUAUUUUUUUGCAACUCUGUUAUUGGCAAACCUAAAUAGGGGUUCAACAGUUUCUUAUUGAGUUAUAAGUGUUUACAAAGAUGUUCAGAACAGCCUGCUUUCAAAACUUCAGUGACUGUAAUAUCUUGGGCUGGCUUCUUUGGCCUUGUUCAACAGAGGAGUGUGCAACAGUGAACACUUGCAACUGAUCUGCAACAUUCAAGGUGAUUUUAAUGUUGGAAAUACCCUCAUUUCCUGGCUCACAGUCUUUCUCCCUCCUUCCAUCCUUUCAUGGAGAUAAAAUGGAAGAACAUGUGCUGGCCACUCAUAUGAGAUAUUUCAAAUCUGAGAGAUUACAAUCUUUCAUAUCAAAUGCAGUUACGGCCCUUUGUAGAGCAGUUUUCUGAAGUGAAUCAGAUGAGUUUUUCAGAGCUAAAGGAAGUCAAGAUGAAAUAAAUAAAAGCAGAGAGGAAAUUGAAAGGGGUGGUGGUUGGGGGAACAUAUGUUUUCAGAUGAUAUUUUAAAAUAGAUGGAGAGCUGAUGAGACAGAGAUACUGAAAACCGACUCCAGAUGGCAGGAAUAGCAAUGGCAAGCUGGUGUGAAGGGACAGAACACAGGCUGGCACCAGACAGGGGAGGACGCGAAAGGAGAGGAGGGAAGCAAGCUGAGCAAAGCAGCCAUGUCGGUGGGUGGGCUACUCAGUGUGUGAGGUUAUAGAAGAAGAAAUGGGAAUCAUUGAAUUCAUACCCGUCACUUUUAGUUUAAUAAUUUACUCAGUAGGUUCAUGUCAUUUUAAAAAAUGAUAUGUCUAUGAAAAAGGUAUAUAUGCUUCACUCUGUUUUGAUUUUAUUUUUAUUUUUAGAGACAGGGUCUUUCUC